AUUGAACGCUGGCGGCAUGCUUUACACAUGCAAGUCGAACGGUAACAGGCCGCAAGGUGCUGACGAGUGGCGAGCGGGUGAGUAAUGCAUCGGAACGUGCCCAGUCGUGGGGGAUAACUACUCGAAAGAGUAGCUAAUACCGCAUACGAUCUAUGGAUGAAAGCGGGGGACCGUAAGGCCUCGCGCGAUUGGAGCGGCCGAUGUCAGAUUAGGUAGUUGGUGGGGUAAAGGCUCACCAAGCCAACGAUCUGUAGCUGGUCUGAGAGGACGACCAGCCACGCUGGGACUGAGACACGGCCCAGACUCCUACGGGAGGCAGCAGUGGGGAAUUUUGGACAAUGGGCGCAAGCCUGAUCCAGCAAUGCCGCGUGCAGGAAGAAGGCCUUCGGGUUGUAAACUGCUUUUGUACGGAACGAAACGGCUCUGGUUAAUACCCGGGGCUAAUGACGGUACCGUAAGAAUAAGCACCGGCUAACUACGUG
This 482-nucleotide ribosomal RNA is filed under the name uncultured bacterium. RNAcentral's name for it is "partial 16S ribosomal RNA". It matches the Rfam family "Bacterial small subunit ribosomal RNA", at positions 30 to 507 of the family's 1533-position model. The record is from RNAcentral.